Long non-coding RNA from Mirounga angustirostris (Northern elephant seal), 569 nucleotides. RefSeq lists it as uncharacterized. NCBI's taxonomy places the organism in Eukaryota, Metazoa, Chordata, Mammalia, Carnivora, Phocidae. The record is from RefSeq and is a predicted model, not a curated record. The transcript has 4 exons.
UAAGUACAGGAGUAUGAUUCUUUAGAUCUGGAAUGAAUUUUUAAAUUUUUGUUUAGAUAAUAUACAGUUUGGGAGAUUUGACUCCCGGAGCCACGUGCUUCUUCAUUCACUUAUGGAGGAGGACGUGUGUUUCUCUAGCCUUCAGACAAAACUUCACUUCAUCCUAAGCUGAAUUUGGAUAUUGCUCACUGUGAAUCAAGCACUGUAGCCAAGGGAAUGAGAGAGAGCACAAGUAGGGGAAGGGGCAGAGGAAGAGAAUAUCCAAGCAGACUCCUGCUAUGCACGGAGCCCAACACAGGGCUCGAUCUCAUGACCGGAGAUCAAGACCUGAGCCAAAACCAAGAGUCAGACGCUUAACCCAUUGAGCCACCCAGGUGCCCCAGGUGUACAAUAUAGUGAUUCAGCACUUCUAUGUAUUACUCAGUGCUCAUCAAGACAGAGAGAGAGAGAGCACACAAGCGGGGGGAGCAGCAGAGGGAAAGGGAGAAGCAGGCUCACCAAGCAGGGAGCCCAAUACGGGGCUGGAUCCCAGGAGCUUGGGACCAUGACCUGAGCCGGAGGUAGACGCC